UUGACGGGGGCCCGCACAAGCGGUGGAGCAUGUGGCUUAAUUCGAAGCAACGCGCAGAACCUUACCAGCCCUUGACAUCCCGGUCGCGGAUCGCAGAGAUGCUUUCCUCAGUUCGGCUGGACCGGUGACAGGUGCUGCAUGGCUGUCGUCAGCUCGUGUCGUGAGAUGUUGGGUUAAGUCCCGCAACGAGCGCAACCCCCGCCUUCAGUUGCCAACGGUUCGGCCGUGCACUCUGGAGGAACUGCCUGUGACAAGCAGGAGGAAGGUGGGGAUGACGUCAAGUCCUCAUGGCCCUUAUGGGCUGGGCUACACACGUGCUACAAUGGCGGUGACAGAGGGAUGCAAUACCGCGAGGUGGAGCAAAUCCCUAAAAGCCGUCUCAGUUCGGAUUGUUCUCUGCAACUCGAGAGCAUGAAGUUGGAAUCGCUAGUAAUCGCGGAUCAGCUCGCCGCGGUGAAUACGUUCCCGGGCCUU
RNAcentral lists this ribosomal RNA (474 nucleotides) under uncultured Alphaproteobacteria bacterium. Its description in RNAcentral is "bacterial SSU rRNA". It matches the Rfam family "Bacterial small subunit ribosomal RNA", at positions 910 to 1382 of the family's 1533-position model. Lineage: Bacteria; Pseudomonadati; Pseudomonadota; Alphaproteobacteria. The record is from RNAcentral.